This is a long non-coding RNA of Mustela erminea (ermine), 666 nucleotides long. RefSeq lists it as uncharacterized. Lineage: Eukaryota; Metazoa; Chordata; Mammalia; Carnivora; Mustelidae. The record is from RefSeq and is a predicted model, not a curated record. The transcript is spliced from 4 exons.
AUUUAAGAAGAUUAAUCUGACAGCAAGAUAUAUUGGGAAACCGGUUGGGAAGCACUUCUAUAUUCCAGGGAUGUUUGUGGAGUUUGUAUUUCUGGCUUGUCUGCCAGUGGAAGAAGGGCAGAACUAUUUCUAAAGGACAAAUUAAACCCCCAUGUUUCUCCAGUGACUGUCAAUAAUUCUUGGACUUAGUUUUGGAUCAGUAAAGCUAUUUGGAGAAUGUGCAUGAUUUUGGUGGACCAAACAGAUUUGUUAAUAUACCCCUCCUCCUGUAUUGAAGUGAGCCUCUGGCAGGUCUCCUCCACAGAGCACACCUGCCUUAGAGCAAACAGAAUGUACUGUGCUAAUGACUCUGAGAUUUCAAGGAAGAUGCACUCCUCAUCUUGAUUCACCAGUAGAAGAGUCACUCACUUCUCUCAUUUGGAAGGAAACAGGGAGCAGGUGACUUUCCAGUUUUUCCACCAUUUUUUGAAGAGACUGUCUUUUCCCAUUGUCUAUCCCUGGAUCUUUUAUCAUUAAUUAAUUGGCCGCAUGUGUGAGUUUACUUCUGGGCUCUUUAUUUUGCUUCACCGAUCUGUAUGUCUGUUUUUAUGGCAACACCAUAAGGUUUUGAUUACUAUACCUUUGAAAUAUAGUUGAAAAUCAAGAAGUGUGAUGCUUCCAGCUUUG